GUAUGCGUCAAUUCUUGCAUUGAUCGGCUUAGAAGCGGUGAUACAUCUGCUAAGUCGGGUUUAUAAGGUGAUGAUAUGGCAUCCCCUAAAGCAAUGAGGAGUUAUUCACAACUUAGAUUGACUUAUCUUCUUGAAGAAGCAUAAAAGUCAUAUACGUCUCGCUUAGUGAUAUCUGAAACUGCAGCUGCAUUGCGUUAGUAUGUGCCCAUAUUUUUAGAUGGCGAACACAAUUUGAGCUACAAGGUAUCCUGGUCAAUUCUCAAUUCUCUAGAUACGAAGAAUGUGUUCAUAUGGUUAUUACAUUGAUGCUCAAAAUGGCCCGUCAUUGGUUAGUAAGCAUCGUACUUUGUGCUUUUACUUUUAAAGAACAAGAAAAAAAUUAUUUUUAUUUGCUACUAGAUGAGUAUCCUUGAUUGGAUUUUGUAAACCUCUAAAGAUGGGAAUUUGCUAUGUGUGUAUUUAUAUAAGGGUGUGCACAAUUUGGUUUGAAUUUUGGAUUAAUUUUCAUUUUAGUU
This 515-nucleotide long non-coding RNA is filed under the name Helianthus annuus (common sunflower). Its description in RNAcentral is "hypothetical non coding rna". The record is from RNAcentral. Lineage: Eukaryota; Viridiplantae; Streptophyta; Magnoliopsida; Asterales; Asteraceae.